CACAGUCUCACAGGAACAGACCACCGAAGGGGAAACAGAUUGCAACCCGCGCCCGCCAUUGCCAACGGAACCGGAGGAUUAACGGGAGGAGGUGGUGCACAGGGAUGUGGCCUUCGUCUUCCUUUGGUUCCUGUUUAGACACCCUUGAGUGGAAGAUGGUAACUGUAGUCUGGAAAAAGAGUCACUUGAGGUUGUGCACGGUUCCAGUUGUGUCUGUAGGUCUCAGGUUUGGCGGCAAGCGCCUUCACCAGCCCUAGAAAGCCUGCAUGUGACAGGUUAAGACAUCAGCACCCAGCUUCCCCUAAGACGUAAGCUGAGCUCUGCAGAACUACCUCCCACUUUAAAGCAAGAACAAGAGGCAUAGUGGAUUUCUCAGCCCUUCCACCUGGUGUGUGAGAGGCAGAAAUGCACUUGA
Molecule: long non-coding RNA, 415 nt
Organism: Mesocricetus auratus (golden hamster)
Lineage: Eukaryota; Metazoa; Chordata; Mammalia; Rodentia; Cricetidae
Exons: 3
Source: RefSeq, a predicted model, not a curated record